GCGUGGUUUGCCACCACUUCCUGCUUCAACCGUGAUGUGCACAGACUGCAUGGUUGGAAAGCAGCAUCGUGAUCCCAUCCCAAAGAAGAGUACAUGGAGAGCAUCACAGAGAUUACAACUCAUCCAUGCAGAUAUAUGUGGCCCAAUCACUCCUACUUCCAACAGCAAAAAAAGGUACUCCUUAUGCUUCAUUGAUGACUACAGUAGGAAAGCAUGGGUCUACUUUCUAACAGAGAAGUCAGAAGCUUUCAAUUCCUUUAAAUGUUUUAAGAAUCUUGUUGAGAAAGAAACUGGUUUGUUUAUCAAAUGCUUGCGCACUGAUUGAGGAGGAGAAUUCAACUCAGAAGAAUUUAAUAACUUCUGUAAGCAGAAUGGAAUCAAGAGACAAUUAACCGUAGCCUACACUCCUCAACAAAAUGGAGUGGCCGAGAGGAAGAAUAGGACUGUGAUGAGUAUGGUCCGGUCCAUGCUUUCAGAAAAGAAGAUUCCCAAAACCUUCUGGCCUAAAGCAAUGAACUGGACUGUAUAUGUGUUGAAUAGGUGUCCAACCCUGGUUGUCAAAAAUGUAACUCCAGAAGAGGCUUGGAGUGGAAUGAAUCCCUUAGUUGUGCACUUUAGGGUAUUUGGUUGUGUGGCACAUGUCCAUGUGCCAAAUGCAAGAAGAACCAAGUUGGAGAAUAAAAGUUUCAGUUGUGUGUUACUAGGAGUCAGUGAAGAGUCCAAGGCCUACAGACUUUAUAACCCUCUCACUAAAAGGGUUGUAAUAAGUAGGGAUGUGAUCUUUGAGGAGGAGAAACAAUGGGAUUGUGAUGCAAGUUAUGAGGAACAACUACUGAUGGACUUGGAAUGGGGUGAUGAUGAGAGUAGUAUAGAUAUGGAUGAUGUAAAUGAAUUUGACAGUGAAGGUGGUGAUGAAGUUGAAGGAACAGGAAGUGCUUCUCCAAAUUCUAUAAAUGAAGUUGAUGGAGUAGGAAAUUCUUCUCCAAAUUCUGCAAAUGAAGAAGAUAUUAAUACAAGUGAAGGAAGAGUUAGGCAACCUCCUAUUUGGAUGAGAGAAUAUUUUAGUGGAGAAGGGCUGUCAGAAGAAGAAAAUGAGGUCAACAUGGCAUUAGUUGUAUCUUCAGAUCCUUUGUGCUUUGAGGAGGCAGUGAAGAGCUCAAAAUGGCGGAUGGCUAUGGACAUUGAAAUCAAGUCAAUUGAGAAGAAUCAAACUUGGAAGUUAACUGAGUUACCAACUGGAGCUAAAAAGAUAGGAGUCAAAUGGAUCUACAAAACUAAACUCAAUGAGCUUGGAGAGGUGGAUAAGUAUAAAGCUCGUCUGGUGGCCAAAGGGUAUUCUCAACAGCAUGGAGUGGAUUACACAGAGGUGUUUGCUCCAGUGGCAAGAAUGGAUACUGUUAGGAUGAUAAUAGCCCUUGCAGCACAGAGAAGUUGGAGGAUAUAUCAGCUAGAUGUGAAGUCUGCCUUUCUUCAUGGUGAACUGAAUGAAGAUGUCUAUGUGGAGCAGCCAAAAGGAUAUGAGAAGAAAGGCAGUGAGCACAAAGUCUACAAGUUGCAGAAGGCUUUAUAUGGACUAAAACAAGCCCCACGAGCUUGGUUUAGUCGUAUUGAAGCUCAUUUUAUCAGUGAAGGCUUUCAAAGGUGCUACAGUGAGCAAACAUUAUUCAUCAAAUGGAACAAAGAAGGUAAAAUCUUAAUUGUUAGUGUUUAUGUGGAUGACCUUAUUUUUACUGUUGAUGAUGAGCUUAUGAUGUCGGAAUUUAAAAAUUCAAUGAUGAGGGAAUUUGAUAUGACUGACUUGGGGAGGAUGAGAUUUUUUCUUGGUAUUGAAGUUUUGCAAAAAUCUGAUGGCAUUUACAUUAGUCAAAGAAAGUACGCCAUGGAGGUUUUGAAACGUUUUAGUAUGGAGGAAAGUAAUUCAGUGAGCAGUCCUAUUGUUCCGGGGUUUAAAAUAUGCAAGGAUGAAGAUGGAAUCAAGGUUGAUGAGACAUAUUACAAACAGAUAGUAGGGAGUCUCAUGUAUCUCACUGCCACUCGACCAGAUUUGAUGUUUGUUGUAAGUCUUAUAAGUCGAUACAUGGCAAAACCAACACAGCUACACCUACAAGUUGCCAAGAGAGCACUCAGGUAUUUAAAAGGCACUAUCAACUAUGGGAUUUUAUACAAGAAGAGAGGGGAUGAAGAAUUAAUAGCAUUCACGGACAGCGACUAUGCUGGUGAUUUGGAGGACAGGAAAAGUACUUCUGGUUAUGUGUCCUUAAUGAGUGGUGGUACAGUCUCAUGGUCCUCAAGGAAGCAGCCUAUAGUUACUCUCUCAACUACAGAAGCUGAGUUCGUGGCAGCGGCAGCCAGUACUUGUCAGGCAGUUUGGAUAAGGAGAAUUCUAAAGAAGUUAGGUUACUCACAAGAAGGUUGCACCACUGUGAUGUGUGAUAAUAGCUCAACUAUUAAGCUGUCUAAAAAUCCAGUUAUGCAUGGCCGAAGUAAGCACAUUGAUGUGCGUUUCCACUUCUUGCGAGAUCUUACUAAGGAUGGAGUUGUUGAACUUGUUCACUGCGGGACUCAAGAUCAAGUGGCAGACUUGAUGACUAAGCCACUGAAACUGGAUGCAUUUCAGAAGCUCCUAAAACAGCUAGGGGUGUGUGAAGUCUCUAAUAUAAACUAAUUACUUGAUAAUAGUUAGUUUAAGGGAGGGAAUGGCAAGUAUUAGUCUCUGUUUAAAUAAAUCCCUAUUAAGUAGGGUGAUUCGUUUUUGUUUUUGAUUCUUUCUUUCUCCAUGUUACCAUGUCUCUGUUAGAGUAAAUCAUGGGCCAUAAUUUCCG
RNAcentral lists this long non-coding RNA (2822 nucleotides) under Olea europaea subsp. europaea. The record is from RNAcentral. Lineage: Eukaryota; Viridiplantae; Streptophyta; Magnoliopsida; Lamiales; Oleaceae.